AUGGAGGCCCUAGGGACUUCGAAGGAAGGGAUCGAGCCAGGGAGAGAAGCCACUAGGCUGCCACCUGCUACGACCCCUCCCUCCAGGCCGCCUCUGUGUUGUAUGCCCAUUUUGGACCCAGAUCUGAGCCUGCCUGCCCCACAGCCUCAAGGCUGUGAGUCCAGGGCCCAGGGCUGUGCUGUGGCCCUGGAGAUGGGUGACAGUGAGGGUUUGGUGGCCAGGGGCGGGUCCCACUGGGCCUCUGGAACUCAGCGCCAGCCCGCCCCUGCUCCCUCGUGCUCCUUGCCAUCCCUGCUUCUUUCUCUUCUCUCUGCCAGUCUGCAUUUACCUCUUGCUUUUCUGUCCUUUACUUUCAUCGUUUCUCCUCCUCUCCUCCUCCCUUCCAGUUCCUCUCCUCUGUCACCCCCUUUUCGUGGGCUCUCUCUUCCCUCUCUUCCCUUUUCUUAUUCCAGCUUUUCCCCUUCAUUUAAAAAUGGAAUUCCUUCUGCCCGCAUCAAUAGGCCUGCACCUUGCUCGGGUCUCUCCCUGCCUCCAGCCCUGGGGUUUCUCAGUGUUGUCCUCGCCCCCAAGGUCUCCCCUUUCUGCCAUUUUUCUGGCCUCCUUUGUUCUGAACCCUCUCGGCAACAGGACUCCCCCCCUCCGAAGGGGGGGUUUGGCCUGUGUCAGCCCAGCCACCCUGCUCAUGCCAUUUGUUCUCAAUUCCCCCCCCCCCCCCGCCCCGCAACUUGGGACGCUGUCUCAGGGCCCAGGAAUGGGGCUGUUUCCCCUGGCUGGGCUGUCAGGGCAGGAUCCACAGGUUCCCUACUACAGGCUCGGUGCAGCCUGGCCAAAGGCGUCGCUCCAUCAACCCUAAGAAGGAAAGAAAAGGGAGCCAACUCCAGAGAUCUGUGGGAUAUGCGGGUGUGGAGGGUGUGGGGUGGGUAUUGGGGAGGCAGAGCAAAAAGGACCAGAUACGGCAAGGCAAAGGACCAGUUGCCUAGUAACUGGUGCCGGCUCCGAGCCUCCAGAGCUCAGGCCACCCCCAGCGGUGGUUUUGGGACUGGGAAUGGAUGA
RNAcentral lists this long non-coding RNA (1053 nucleotides) under Oryctolagus cuniculus (rabbit). Its description in RNAcentral is "lncRNA (ENSOCUG00000033276.1)". Lineage: Eukaryota; Metazoa; Chordata; Mammalia; Lagomorpha; Leporidae. The record is from RNAcentral.